ACAAGGUUUCACUGCGGAGACCGUGCAACCCUGCGGGGAGGCAGCGCGACAGUAAAUAAAGCUACCGCUUGCAAGUCAGUCUCGACUGGCAACACAAUCGAAUUGCGGGGACCUCCUAAAGCUCAAGCUACGAAGUUAGCGCCGAAAGGUGCUGAUGCAGUUAAAAUGCUUGAGAUGUUACAAUGGACAAUCCGCAGCGAAGACCCUACAGCGCAAGCCACGGGUAUCGUUCACAGACUAAGUGAUUGUGGGUAGGCAACUACUUAAGAUAUAGUCGAGCCUGAGCCGAAAGGUUGAGGGUGCACUGUCCGUAGGUGAACCUGCGGAAGGAUCAUUA
RNAcentral lists this non-coding RNA (337 nucleotides) under Phialophora dancoi. Its description in RNAcentral is "partial 18S rRNA". The stretch from base 25 to 298 matches the Rfam family "Group I catalytic intron". Rfam says of the family: Group I catalytic introns are large self-splicing ribozymes. They catalyse their own excision from mRNA, tRNA and rRNA precursors in a wide range of organisms. Lineage: Eukaryota; Fungi; Ascomycota; Eurotiomycetes; Chaetothyriales; Herpotrichiellaceae. The record is from RNAcentral.